Molecule: ribosomal RNA, 462 nt
Filed under: Triticum aestivum (bread wheat)
Lineage: Eukaryota; Viridiplantae; Streptophyta; Magnoliopsida; Poales; Poaceae
Description: partial small subunit ribosomal RNA
Source: RNAcentral
AUGGGCGAGGAGGAGGAGGACGCCUUCGAGGCGUCGUCGUGCGCGUCCUCCGGCGGCGAGUCGGGCGACGAGGGGGACAGGUUCCCGGCCAGCGGGGGCGCCCGCCGCCAGUCCGCGCCGCCGCAGGCGCCGCUGAGGAGGAUGAACUCGGACAGCAUCUACGACAUGUCCGGCAUGACGGCGCACCUCCCCGCCAAGAAGGGGCUGUCGGCGUACUACCAGGGCAAGUCGCAGUCGUUCGCGUGCAUGGCGGAGGUGCGGUGCCUGGAGGACCUGCAGAAGAAGGAGAAGCCGCGCGGGCACAAGAUGAAGCCCUGCAAGAGCUACGCCGCGCUGGGGGGCGUGGCCAUGGCCAGGAAGCCGCCGGGCUCCUCCUGCGCCAACCUCGGCCUCAUGGACGCCGGCAACGGCUUCAUGGCGCCCCGGAACAUCCCCGUCAACGACGACUGCUACCAUCAGUAG